RNAcentral lists this long non-coding RNA (211 nucleotides) under Nicotiana benthamiana. RNAcentral describes it as "long non-coding RNA (NBEN_LNC000545)". Lineage: Eukaryota; Viridiplantae; Streptophyta; Magnoliopsida; Solanales; Solanaceae. The record is from RNAcentral.
GGUACUCUUGACAAAGAAAAUGGAAGAUUAGGAGUAAGGAACCUGAGGAUCCAUAGCAAAGCUUGCUGUACAAAUCACUUUGGAGGUUCAAUUUUGGAGAAGGGGCUCUUUGGAGAAAAGUUUUGGUAGAAAAAUAGGGCCACGAGGUCCACGACCCAUGAGACCCGUGGUACCCUAAAGUGGUUCAGAGACCUUAUGGAAUUGGGGUUUG